CGUAGGUGGCAAGCGUUGUCCGGAUUUACUGGGCGUAAAGAGCGCGCAGGCGGUCGUUCAAGUCGCGUGUGAAAGCCCCCGGCUCAACUGGGGAGGGUCACGCGAUACUGAUCGACUGGAAGGCAGGAGAGGGUAGUGGAAUUCCCGGUGUAGUGGUGAAAUGCGUAGAUAUCGGGAGGAACACCAGUGGCGAAGGCGACUACCUGGCCUGUUCUUGACGCUGAGGCGCGAAAGCUAGGGGAGCAAACGGG
Molecule: ribosomal RNA, 251 nt
Filed under: uncultured bacterium
Lineage: Bacteria
Description: partial 16S ribosomal RNA
Rfam family: Bacterial small subunit ribosomal RNA
Source: RNAcentral